Molecule: ribosomal RNA, 419 nt
Filed under: uncultured bacterium
Lineage: Bacteria
Description: bacterial SSU rRNA
Rfam family: Bacterial small subunit ribosomal RNA
Source: RNAcentral
UGGGGAAUAUUGCGCAAUGGCCGAAAGGCUGACGCAGCGACGCCGCGUGGGGGAUGAAGCAUUUCGGCGUGUAAACCCCUGUUGCCCGGGACGAACAAGCAGAUUUUUCUGCUCUGACGGUACCGGGUGAGGAAGCACCGGCUAACUCCGUGCCAGCAGCCGCGGUAAUACGGAGGGGGCUAGCGUUGCUCGGAAUCACUGGGCGUAAAGCGCACGUAGGCGGACUCUUAAGUCGGUGGUGAAAUCCUGGAGCUCAGCUCCAGAACUGCCUUCGAUACUGGUAGUCUCGAGUUCGGGAGAGGUGAGUGGAACUGCGAGUGUAGAGGUGAAAUUCGUAGAUAUUCGCAAGAACACCAGUGGCGAAGGCGGCUCACUGGCCCGAUACUGACGCUGAGGUGCGAAAGCGUGGGGAGCAAACA